RNAcentral lists this ribosomal RNA (367 nucleotides) under Genicanthus melanospilos (spotbreast angelfish). RNAcentral's name for it is "partial 12S ribosomal RNA". It matches the Rfam family "Bacterial small subunit ribosomal RNA", at positions 801 to 1372 of the family's 1533-position model. The record is from RNAcentral. Lineage: Eukaryota; Metazoa; Chordata; Actinopteri; Pomacanthidae.
UAAACAUAGACAGUUCACAUACCCCACUGUCCGCCCGGGAACUACGAGCAUCAGCUUAAAACCCAAAGGACUUGGCGGUGCUUUAAACCCACCUAGAGGAGCCUGUUCUAGAACCGAUAAUCCCCGUUCAACCUCACCCCUCCUUGUUCUCUCCGCCUAUAUACCACCGUCGUCAGUUUACCCUAUGAAGGUCAAACAGUAAGCACAAUCGGCAUAGCCCAAAACGUCAGGUCGAGGUGUAGCGUAUGGAGGGGGAAGAAAUGGGCUACAUUCCCUAAUACUAGGGCAUACGGAUUGUAUGCUGAAACGCAUAUCUGAAGGAGGAUUUAGCAGUAAGCAGGAAAUAGAGUGUCCCGCUGAAAGUGGC